UUUUUAGUGGCAUGCAUUACUCCCUCCAUUCCCUUAUACAAGGCCAAAUAGGUCAACCUUUUAAACUGCCUGCUGAAUCCAUGAGAAGGCAAGAGACAACCUGGCGAACUGAAACAUCUUAGUAGCCAGAGGAAAAGAAAGCAAAAGC
This 148-nucleotide non-coding RNA is filed under the name Triticum urartu. RNAcentral describes it as "Bacterial large subunit ribosomal RNA". It matches the Rfam family "Bacterial large subunit ribosomal RNA", at positions 62 to 232 of the family's 2925-position model. The record is from Rfam by way of RNAcentral. Lineage: Eukaryota; Viridiplantae; Streptophyta; Magnoliopsida; Poales; Poaceae.